RNAcentral lists this unclassified non-coding RNA (322 nucleotides) under Hevea brasiliensis (rubber tree). Lineage: Eukaryota; Viridiplantae; Streptophyta; Magnoliopsida; Malpighiales; Euphorbiaceae. The record is from RNAcentral.
AUGAGCAUCAUAUUUGAGGAAAUGCCAAUGUGAAUCUUGGAAUUGGUCUUUCAAUCAGUUUCAUCUUGUGAUAUAUCUUCUUCUUGCCACCUUGAUGUUAUUGUGAUAUUCUCGUUUGGCAUGAAUUGGUUUGAAUCUGGUUUAUUUUAAGUUGCAAAAAAGCCUUAAACUAUAGAGCUCAUUUUUAUUUAUCCUCACUUCACAAGAUAAGGUUUCAUCAAUUUUGAAGGUGUGAAUAUCUGGAGAUAUUCAAAUAAAUAGAAACCGGUGAAAAAUGAAUACUUUGUAUAUGAAGUUAUGAUUGUCUACUAAUACAAUGAGG